UGUCAUUGUUUUCUUCAGCCUCUUCAAGAUCUUUAAAUAUCUUGUCAUUAAGCUUUGAUGUAUCAUUGAGUGCUUUCUCUAUCUCCCUCACAUUGAUAGCCUUGGUUCUGUUCCUGGUUAUGCAACAACCAAACAGGAUUAGUGACACUGGUGUCCACAGGUUUAGCUUUAUAAAGCACAAUGAAAUGUGCUCUAGAUCAUCGUCGAAGCCUGUGACGUUUUCCAGGAUCCUCUUGAUAUCCUCUAUCAUGUCCUUGAUCUCAUCAGGGGAUUUGGGCAGCUGAAUGGAAAACACAGCAUUGGCCAGUUUCUCAAUGUCCUCUGGCUUCACCAGCUCAUCUGUUAAGUGGGGUCCAGUGGAGUGUUCCCUGCAGUCCAGACAGUCUCCGGUGACCAGGUCACAGAUGUCAG
Long non-coding RNA from Onychostoma macrolepis, 411 nucleotides. RefSeq lists it as uncharacterized. The transcript is spliced from 3 exons. The record is from RefSeq and is a predicted model, not a curated record. NCBI's taxonomy places the organism in Eukaryota, Metazoa, Chordata, Actinopteri, Cypriniformes, Cyprinidae.